This 434-nucleotide ribosomal RNA is filed under the name uncultured bacterium. RNAcentral describes it as "partial 16S ribosomal RNA". It matches the Rfam family "Bacterial small subunit ribosomal RNA", at positions 29 to 507 of the family's 1533-position model. The record is from RNAcentral.
AGCGAACGCUGGCGGCAGGCCUAACACAUGCAAGUCGAACGAACCUUUCGGGGUUAGUGGCGGACGGGUGAGUAACACGUGGGAACGUGCCUUUAGGUUCGGAAUAACUCAGGGAAACUUGUGCUAAUACCGAAUGUGCCCUUCGGGGGAAAGAUUAAUCGCCUUUAGAGCGGCCCGCGUCUGAUUAGCUAGUUGGUUGAGGUAAUGGCUCACCAAGGCGACGAUCAGUAGCUGGUCUGAGAGGAUGAUCAGCCAGAUUGGGACUGAGACACGGCCCAAACUCAUACGGGAUGCAGCAGUGGGGAAUAUUGGACAAUGGGCGAAAGCCUGAAGCAGUAAUGCCGCGUGAAUGAUGAAGGCCGUAGGGUUGUAAAGCUCUUGUACCCGGGAUGAUAAUGACAGUACCGGGAGAAUAAGCUCCGGCUAACUCCGUG